Molecule: long non-coding RNA, 1202 nt
Organism: Papaver somniferum (opium poppy)
Lineage: Eukaryota; Viridiplantae; Streptophyta; Magnoliopsida; Ranunculales; Papaveraceae
Exons: 5
Source: RefSeq, a predicted model, not a curated record
CUGAAAAUGUCCUUCAAAAAAUUCUAUUGAUUUCAUUAAGGUUUAUACCAUUUCCUUCUGGAAGAUUUGUAUUGUUCUUCUUCAGAUAAUGAGAUUUUGUUACUAUUCUGCUACCCUAAUUUGUCAGAUAAGUUAUCAACACAAUCGGAAUUUCGUUUAUUUGCAGAUGAAAAUUAUUGUUAGGGUUUCUAUAGAUUAAUACUGUCUAAUCAUAAUUAUUCUUCUUCCCUAAUCGCAUGAUUGAGAUCCUGUACUAUUCUUUUUCCUUUGUAAUUUUACUUAUUCAUGCCCUAAUUUCUGUAAUUAGACCAUUGCCUUAAUUUCUAUUGCAGGAUAAUGAAAUAUGGUACAACGUUAAGGACUUUGGAAUCACAUCGAUCUGGGAGGCCUAGGGGUCGUAGGUACAGCUUGAAGCCUCUUGUGUCUAGACUAUACGAGCUCCUUGGACUCAAGGUUGAAAUGGCAAAUGGUUGUGUCGGGAGAAAGUCCAGGAUUUGAUUAAUGCAAUUCCUGUUUGCGAGCAAUCUAGCAUCUAUUGCUGACAUUUAUGUUAAUGCUUGUUUUCUAACUGCUCACGGAACUGAUAAUUCCUGGGUAGGAGUUACUAAGUUCAUAAGGCCGUCUGUGGAUGGAUUCCUUGUGCUCAAGUAAACAAAGGCAUCUCUUCCAUGGUCGGAUCAAAAAAGGUCACGACACAGAAAAUAUCCAAUAAUCUGAAGGGCCAAUCAUGGAUGAUUGUUGCAGUCCUGACUUUGAGUCGAAUACUUUUACCAGGAAUAUGGAUGACAAAUCAGAACGUGAAUGGUAAAGAAGGGAACAUACUGGUGACUGGAUAUGUAGUGAGCGAUUUGCAAGGUAAAGUAUGUCACCACAGACUUAUUCCAAAGAAUGAGCGAAGGUUUUUGAAGAAUGUGUCUAAAAUGCUUCUGCACCAAUCUGGGACCCUCCUCAAGGUGAUGAUUAUUGGUUGUGGUUGGGUGAUAUGGAAGGAAUAAGAAGCGGUUGUAAUCUGUAAAAUAAACUUUGUUUAUUAUAGUCACAGAUAGUUAAGAUCAAUUCCAAGCGAAGAGUUGAUAAUUUUAGGAAUAUUUGUUAGUUUUUUUCUUUAUAUUUAGGUUUUAUGAGUACUUAAGAUAUAUACAAGUUGAUGUUUAAACAAUUUUUUUUUGUAUUAGUUUUAUUGCAGCACUAUGUUUUUUAAA